CCUACGGGGGGCUGCAGUGGGGAAUAUUGGACAAUGGGGGCAACCCUGAUCCAGCCAUGCCGCGUGUGUGAAGAAGGCCCUCGGGUUGUAAAGCACUUUCAGUGAGGAAGAACGCCUGGUGGUUAAUACCCAUCAGGAAAGACAUCACUCACAGAAGAAGCACCGGCUAACUCCGUGCCAGCAGCCGCGGUAAUACGGAGGGUGCGAGCGUUAAUCGGAAUUACUGGGCGUAAAGCGCGCGUAGGUGGCUUGAUAAGCCGGUUGUGAAAGCCCCGGGCUCAACCUGGGAACGGCAUCCGGAACCGUCAAGCUAGAGUGCAGGAGAGGAAGGUAGAAUUCCCGGUGUAGCGGUGAAAUGCGUAGAGAUCGGGAGGAAUACCAGUGGCGAAGGCGGCCUUCUGGACUGACACUGACACUGAGGUGCGAAAGCGUGGGUAGCAAACAGGAUUAGAUACCCCAGUUC
RNAcentral lists this ribosomal RNA (463 nucleotides) under Vreelandella stevensii. Its description in RNAcentral is "partial 16S ribosomal RNA". It matches the Rfam family "Bacterial small subunit ribosomal RNA", at positions 338 to 796 of the family's 1533-position model. The record is from RNAcentral. Lineage: Bacteria; Pseudomonadati; Pseudomonadota; Gammaproteobacteria; Oceanospirillales; Halomonadaceae.